Eurytemora carolleeae is the source of this 1484-nucleotide long non-coding RNA. RefSeq lists it as uncharacterized. The record is from RefSeq and is a predicted model, not a curated record. Lineage: Eukaryota; Metazoa; Arthropoda; Copepoda; Calanoida; Temoridae. The transcript has 3 exons.
AUCUUGGUUCGGGGCCAUCUGGACUCGUCUGUCUUUAUUUUACCGGCUGAUGGGCAUCAUAGUCAAUGAAUUCGUGGAGUCCGGUUACAAAAAUUCUUCUUUCAGAAACAAUUGCUAGAAACUUAUUGGUUUUACAUGUUUGCAGAUCAUGAAUAAUUGGUCAAUAAAUUUGUUUAAGAUUUAAUUUCCGAAUAUGGAGGUAACAGUUUUGAUCUGUAUUUCAAGGUCUCUUGAGCAGGUCACUUUGAUUUAAAGGUCUCCCCCACUCAAACAAAAAUUUAUGAGAAUUUUGCCAAUUACUUCUUAAAAACCAAAGCUAACAACAAGUGUUUUGUAUUGCUUAACUGUACAUGUAAAGGGCUAUAGAAAAGCAUAAACGAGUUUGAGCGUUAAAAUCAAAGUACAAGGCGUUGUGACACUUCAAAGUCGACCCUGUCUUAAAAAUUGAUGAGACUUUCUAUAAGCAGUCUGAAUUUAUGUAAACUCUGGAUUGAUAAAAUCAAAAUUCCGAAGUUGCUCGAAGCGACGCUGAUUUCUGCAGCUUAAUUCAAUUUGCACUUAAUCUCUAAUGUUUAAUGGAAAUUGAUAUGCAAGAAUAUCAACAUACUUCAUAAUACAUCACUCUGCACUGUGUAGGGACUCCAUAUUUAUAUAAGACCUUACAUUCACAUUUUUCUUUUAGAAGAAAAUACUUGGUGGUUGGAACAAUUCUUUUUAAUUUUUAAUUUUUUUUUGUUUAUGUAUAAAACACGGAAUAGAUCGUGGCUGUACACAUUGAACAUUGAAGUAUUACUCUAAACGGAAGCAUCGGAUCACAAAUAAAUGACUUACAAGACCCUUUCGAAAAUUAAAAAAAUUAAUACAUCAACCUUUAUUAACAACAAAAAGUGCUGAAAAUCUUAAUCCAGUGUAAAUGUAUAUUGGGAACCAGAAAAUCUUUGUAGGAACGUCGUCUACGUUUUUUCUUUCAUUUAAAUUAUGUAUUGCAGUAUUUCGUAAUUUGAAUUUGUUGCAACGGAUGUUUUUAUAUUUUUUUCUAAAAGGUUUUAGGCACAAUUUUAGACAUACUUCAGUUACAAAGUGCUUAUUCCAUGAAGCUGCAACAUUUUAUGAGAAAAAAAUAUAAUUCUGCUGUGUUCUAGUACUCACUUCAUGUUCAUAUUAAAUAUAAUUCUGCUGUGUUCUAGUACUCACUUCAUGUUCAUAUUAAAUAUAAAAAGUGCUCUUGCAAAUUAUAUAAUAUUUCCACUUGCUUCUUCUCAUAUUUCUGAUCUUCUAAUUAAUUCUUUGCAGAAAGUAAAUUGAGAAGGAAAAAUAAUCCUGAUUUUCUGAACAUUCUUUGCUAGAUUUCAUGAAUGGCAUGUUCGAUUCCUAACGCAAAUUGUCCCCGCGGUAGGAACACAUAUCUUCAGCUAAAAACCUGUGCCCUGUAUCCCUACCUGUGCCCUGUAUCCCUACCUGUGCCCUGUAUCCCUGCCUGUGCC